RNAcentral lists this small RNA (483 nucleotides) under Cryptococcus neoformans H99. Its description in RNAcentral is "Cryptococcus neoformans var. grubii H99 hypothetical RNA". The record is from RNAcentral. Lineage: Eukaryota; Fungi; Basidiomycota; Tremellomycetes; Tremellales; Cryptococcaceae.
GGCGAAACAAGUGCCCUGCUACCGCUGGGCUGUGGGCCGCCAGCACUUGGCUGCUGUAGUCUCUGGGGCAGUCCCUGGUGAGAAACAAGACGAAAUCUGAAGAAAUUUACCAAUAAUGUGGCUUCCUUGCCCACCGCCGUCUCUUCAACACCGCCUCUUUGAACUGAUGAUAAUAGAGAUAAGACGUGUUGUCGUGUUCCGCUGCUCACUUGACAUUCGACAUCCGUGCACUUUCAAAGACAAAUGACGAAGCAUAGUCACUGUAGACUGCAGACUUCAUGGUUGACGGAUGAGAUCUUUAUUGGAACAAGUGGAAGAUGAAAGAGUGGUACGUAAGGAUACUCGGACAAGCAUGACUGGUAACCCGGUGACUUGUUCACAUCAGUAAUCUUCGAUCGCCAGUAUCUAUUCAAAGUAUUCAGUAGUUACAUGCUGACCGCCUAAUAAACUUUGGACUUUGAUAUGCAGCCUGCUGUACCUGCU